GGCGGCAUGCCUAACACAUGCAAGUCGAACGAGAAAGUACCUUCGGGUGCGAGUAGAGUGGCGGACGGGUGAGUAACGCGUGGGAAUCUGCCUAGUACUGGGGGAUAACUCGAGGAAACUCGAGCUAAUACCGCAUAAGCCCUAAGGGGGAAAGGCUUCGGCCGCUAUUAGAUGAGCCCGCGUAAGAUUAGCUUGUUGGUAGGGUAAAAGCCUACCAAGGCGACGAUCUUUAGCUGGUCUGAGAGGACGAUCAGCCACACUGGGACUGAGACACGGCCCAAACUCCUACGGGAGGCAGCAGUGGGGAAUAUUGGACAAUGGGCGAAAGCCUGAUCCAGCAAUGCCGCGUGUGUGAAGAAGGCCUGCGGGUUGUAAAGCACUUUCAGUAGGGAAGAUAAUGACGGUACCUACAAAAGAAGCACCGGCUAACUCCGUGCCAGCAGCCGCGGUAAUACGGAGGGUGCGAGCGUUAAUCGGAAUUACUGGGCGUAAAGAGUACGUAGGUGGUUUGGUAAGUCGGAUGUGAAAUCCCUGGGCUCAACCUGGGAAUUGCAUUCGAAACUGCCUCACUACAGUUUAGCAGAGGGAUGCGGAAUUCCGGGUGUAGCGGUGAAAUGCGUACAGAUCCGGAGGAACAUCAAUGGCGAAGGCAGCAUCCUGGGCUAAAACUGACACUGAGGUACGAAAGCGUGGGUAGCAAACAGGAUUAGAUACCCUGGUAGUCCACGCCGUAUACGAUGUCAACUAGCCGUUGGGAGGGUUAAACCUCGACUCCAUGAAGUGGGAAUCGUUAGUAAUUGCGAAUCAGCAUUGUCGCGGUGAAUACGUUCCCGGGCCUUGUACACACCGCCCGUCACACCAUGGGAGUUGGCUGCAAAAGAAGUGGGUAGUUUAACCUUCGGGAGAACGCUCACCACUU
RNAcentral lists this ribosomal RNA (919 nucleotides) under uncultured organism. RNAcentral's name for it is "bacterial SSU rRNA". It matches the Rfam family "Bacterial small subunit ribosomal RNA". The record is from RNAcentral.